GAAAUUUUAGUUUAAUAGUUUAAAAUUUUUUUUUUACAAAAAAAAGAUAAUUUAUGUUAAAUUUCA
This 66-nucleotide transfer RNA is filed under the name Encyrtus infelix. RNAcentral describes it as "tRNA-Val". Lineage: Eukaryota; Metazoa; Arthropoda; Insecta; Hymenoptera; Encyrtidae. The record is from RNAcentral.